Molecule: long non-coding RNA, 310 nt
Filed under: Prunus persica (peach)
Lineage: Eukaryota; Viridiplantae; Streptophyta; Magnoliopsida; Rosales; Rosaceae
Description: long non-coding RNA (PPER_LNC008643)
Source: RNAcentral
AGCUGGAGUGUUGGUGGACUGCGCCUGCGAAAGAUUCUCUGUAGCUUGUCGACGAGAAUUGGUUCUUCGGGAGUGAGUAACGGAGCGUCUUUCCUCAUGGUCCCCAUUGUGAGGGUUGUCCAACUGGCCUCCCUGAGGGCCUGGCCUUUCGAGAGCGCUUCUCUGUGAGUUGACAGCUGAGCGCCUUUCUUCGUGAUCCUCGUUGCGAUGGUUGUUUGGCUGACCUCCUUGGGGGCCUAGCCUUUGAUGUACAUUUCUCUGCGGGCCCAUGCGGGCACGGACGUCGAGUCGUCUGCUGGUGCGUUCGUCC